AUAAAAAUAACAAAAAAAAAAAUCACUAAAUUCAUUUCCCCUGAAUAACAAGUUUAAACCCUAGCCGCCACUAUCUCAUUUUCCUCCUCCACGACGAGGUCAACACCUUGUAUAUAGAUCUAAUCACUUUAUAGAGAGCUUUUAGAAAAUAAAUUUUUAUUAUUGCAGUCCACUACUACUAAAUCACAUAAAAGGCCAUAAAAAUAUUUUGAAAACCUCCAUUAAUCGCAACAAUGGUGGUCAUACGCCACUGCUUGUUGGAGAGGGUCACCUGGUUGAUCGGGUAGAUCAUCAACUCAUCUUUCUUCCUUGACUGGAGGUGAGGCAAACGAAGGCCUAUGGAGGGAGAUCAGACCACUGUAAGUUUUGCAGGUGGCGGUACCCCUCACUAUUGAUAUAGACGUGAAGAAGAAGAUGAAAUUUACCCAAUCCAUCUAUUUUUGGUCCACCUUAGUGAUGACGCAUGAACCCACGCAUCGUUAAUGGAGACGACAUGUGAAACCCACGUGCUACUACUAUUCUAGUUGCCCAGAAUCUUUUAUUAUGUUGUUUGAAUUCCUAGUAAUCUUGUCAGCCCGUUUCCAAUCUUUGGAAGGACCAUGUUGUAAAUUUUAAAAUUUUAAUUUGUGUUUGAAUUUAUUUUUAA
Populus euphratica (Euphrates poplar) is the source of this 646-nucleotide long non-coding RNA. RefSeq lists it as uncharacterized. The transcript is spliced from 2 exons. The record is from RefSeq and is a predicted model, not a curated record. Lineage: Eukaryota; Viridiplantae; Streptophyta; Magnoliopsida; Malpighiales; Salicaceae.